RNAcentral lists this non-coding RNA (298 nucleotides) under Clostridium sp. RNAcentral describes it as "T-box sequence". It matches the Rfam family "T-box leader". From Rfam's summary of the family: Uncharged tRNA acts as the effector for transcription antitermination of genes in the T-box leader family. T-boxes are found upstream of many aminoacyl-tRNA synthetase genes and some amino acid biosynthetic genes usually in Gram-positive bacteria. Lineage: Bacteria; Bacillati; Bacillota; Clostridia; Eubacteriales; Clostridiaceae. The record is from RNAcentral.
UCAAAGGCGUUGAAUGAAACAAGUAAGAACAUAUCAGAACUGACAGAGAGCUGCCGGCUGCUGAGAGGCGCGAGGGAGAUAUGUUCCGAAUACCUUCAGGAGCUGUGCACCGAACCGUCCCGACGGACAGACCGUUUUCCGGCUGCCGUCCCGCAUGCAGUAGGCUGCACCGGCAUGCGGCCGUUAUCCCGCAGGAGUAUUCACCGUCUGCCGGACAGCGGAUACUUGUUAAGGUCGGCAAUGCGAGUUGCCGAUGAAUUAAGGUGGUACCACGUGGCAUUUCAGCCUCGUCCUUUUG